RNAcentral lists this ribosomal RNA (812 nucleotides) under Alanphillipsia aloeicola. Its description in RNAcentral is "eukaryotic LSU rRNA". It matches the Rfam family "Eukaryotic large subunit ribosomal RNA", at positions 92 to 922 of the family's 3401-position model. Lineage: Eukaryota; Fungi; Ascomycota; Dothideomycetes; Botryosphaeriales; Botryosphaeriaceae. The record is from RNAcentral.
AGUGAAGCGGCAACAGCUCAAAUUUGAAAGCUGGCCCUCUCAGGGUCCGCGUUGUAAUUUGUAGAGGAUGAUUCGGCGAGGGCUCCCGCCUAAGUCCCCUGGAACGGGGCGUCAUAGAGGGUGAGAAUCCCGUAUGCGGUGGGCUGCCUUAGCCAUGUGAAUCUCCUUCGACGAGUCGAGUUGUUUGGGAAUGCAGCUCUAAAUUGGAGGUAAAUUUCUUCUAAAGCUAAAUACUGGCCAGAGACCGAUAGCGCACAAGUAGAGUGAUCGAAAGAUGAAAAGCACUUUGGAAAGAGAGUUAAAAAGCACGUGAAAUUGUUGAAAGGGAAGCGCUUGCAACCAGACUUGUCCGCAGUUGCUCAGCCGGUCUCCUGACCGGCGUACUCUUCUGCGGCCAGGCCAGCAUCAGUUCGGGCGGUCGGAUAAAGACCCCGGGAAUGUAGCUCCCCUCGGGGAGUGUUAUAGCCCGGGGUGGAAUGCGGCCAGCCUGGACUGAGGAACUCGCUUCGGCAAGGAUGCUGGCGUAAUGGUUGUAAGCGGCCCGUCUUGAAACACGGACCAAGGAGUCUAACAUCUAUGCGAGUGUUUGGGUGUCAAACCCAUACGCGUAAUGAAAGUGAACGGAGGUGGGAACCCGCAAGGGCGCACCAUCGGCCGAUCCUGAUGUCUUCGGAUGGAUUUGAGCAAGAGCAUAGCUGUUGGGACCCGAAAGAUGGUGAACUAUGCCUGAAUAGGGUGAAGCCAGAGGAAACUCUGGUGGAGGCUCGCAGCGGUUCUGACGUGCAAAUCGAUCGUCAAAUUUGGGUAUAGGG